Molecule: unclassified non-coding RNA, 479 nt
Filed under: Deinandra fasciculata
Lineage: Eukaryota; Viridiplantae; Streptophyta; Magnoliopsida; Asterales; Asteraceae
Description: partial external transcribed spacer
Source: RNAcentral
GUAUGCCAAGGCUUCUUGGUCUUGGUGGAUUGUGGGUUUCCUGUGUUGCCUACCUAAGCAAUGGUAUUGCUCUGGUUGAUCCUAGUCCCUUUUCUUCUAGUGUCAUACCUAUGACAUUGGAUGAACCAUGAAGCGGUCUCUUUGACCCACCUUGUCAGCCAUUGUGUUGAUUUUGUGGCUCAUUGAGYGUCGCUUGGUAUCCUGGAUACAGAACAUGAUUUGAGCAUAUGGGGUCUCAUGGGGGCUUUGUGUCCUUCUCAUUCAGUAUGUGUGCUUCUCUUUGAAUGAUUGCCUCGCCCGCAAAGGCAUGUUCCCGCGGGGUGGUAUGACAAAGAGAAUUACCCUUCCUGUUUGAUAUGGGCAUGGUGUCUCAUGUCAUCCUUGUUUUGCUCUCAUUUAGCGUUCGCGCUUCUCUUCGAAUGACGGCCUUGCUCUUCUGGGCUUGUACCAGCGUGGGAGGCCAUGUCAAAGAGGAAUGC